CUACGGGGUGCACCAGUGGGGAAUAUUGCACAAUGGGCGCAAGCCUGAUGCAGCCAUGCCGCGUGUAUGAAGAAGGCCUUCGGGUUGUAAUGUACUUUCAGCGGGGAGGAAGGGAGUAAAGUUAAUACCUUUGCUCAUUGACGUUACCCGCAGAAGAAGCACCGGCUAACUCCGUGCCAGCAGCCGCGGUAAUACGGAGGGUGUAAGCGUUAAUCGGAAUUACUGGGCGUAAAGCGCACGCAGGCGGUUUGUUAAGUCAGAUGUGAAAUCCCCGGGCUCAACCUGGGAACUGCAUCUGAUACUGGCAAGCUUGAGUCUCGUAGAGGGGGGUAGAAUUCCAGGUGUAGCGGUGAAAUGCGUAGAGAUCUGGAGGAAUACCGGUGGCGAAGGCGGCCCCCUGGACGAAGACUGACGCUCAGGUGCGAAAGCGUGGGGAGCAAACAGGAUUAGAUACCCGCGUAGUC
RNAcentral lists this ribosomal RNA (464 nucleotides) under uncultured bacterium. Its description in RNAcentral is "partial 16S ribosomal RNA". It matches the Rfam family "Bacterial small subunit ribosomal RNA", at positions 339 to 795 of the family's 1533-position model. The record is from RNAcentral.